Armigeres subalbatus is the source of this 301-nucleotide long non-coding RNA. RefSeq lists it as uncharacterized. The transcript has 2 exons. Lineage: Eukaryota; Metazoa; Arthropoda; Insecta; Diptera; Culicidae. The record is from RefSeq and is a predicted model, not a curated record.
UAAUAGAUGAUUUUCACCACAACUACGAAAAAAAAUCUUAUUCCGACCCUAAAAUCGCUUGAUUUCAUCUCAUCGAAACGUAAAAUACACAGAGGUUUCUUACUAAACCCAGCUGCUUCAAAAUUCAGCAUUCGGUGUAAAUUUCUGCAUGAAUUCCAAAAAAAAUUGCCGGCAGACUUACUGGAGGAAUGCCUAGAGAGACUCCAGAAACGAUUCUUGGAGGAAAUCCUGAAGGACGUCCUAGAAAAACUAUAGGAGGAACUACUGGAGAAAUUACUCGCGUAGAAAUUCUUUUAGAGAC